ACGGGUAGCCGGCCUGAGAGGGUGACCGGCCACACUGGGACUGAGACACGGCCCAGACUCCUACGGGAGGCAGCAGUGGGGAAUAUUGCACAAUGGGCGAAAGCCUGAUGCAGCAACGCCGCGUGAGGGACGACGGCCUUCGGGUUGUAAACCUCUUUUAGCAGGGAAGAAGCGAAAGUGACGGUACCUGCAGAAAAAGCACCGGCUAACUACGUGCCAGCAGCCGCGGUAAUACGUAGGGUGCAAGCGUUAUCCGGAAUUAUUGGGCGUAAAGAGCUCGUAGGCGGUUUGUCGCGUCUGCUGUGAAAUCUGGGGGCUCAACCCCCAGCCUGCAGUGGGUACGGGCAGACUAGAGUGCGGUAGGGGAGAUUGGAAUUCCUGGUGUAGCGGUGGAAUGCGCAGAUAUCAGGAGGAACACCGAUGGCGAAGGCAGAUCUCUGGGCCGUAACUGACGCUGAGGAGCGAAAGGGUGGGGAGCAA
RNAcentral lists this ribosomal RNA (480 nucleotides) under Microbacteriaceae bacterium. Its description in RNAcentral is "bacterial SSU rRNA". It matches the Rfam family "Bacterial small subunit ribosomal RNA", at positions 279 to 771 of the family's 1533-position model. The record is from RNAcentral. Lineage: Bacteria; Bacillati; Actinomycetota; Actinomycetes; Micrococcales; Microbacteriaceae.